Molecule: ribosomal RNA, 693 nt
Filed under: uncultured bacterium
Lineage: Bacteria
Description: bacterial SSU rRNA
Rfam family: Bacterial small subunit ribosomal RNA
Source: RNAcentral
AACGCUAGCUACAGGCUUAACACAUGCAAGUCGAGGGGCAGCAUGAACUUAGCUUGCUAAGUUUGAUGGCGACCGGCGCACGGGUGAGUAACACGUAUCCAACCUGCCGAUGACUCGGGGAUAGCCUUUCGAAAGAAAGAUUAAUACCCGAUGGCAUAGUUCUUCCGCAUGGUAGAACUAUUAAAGAAUUUCGGUCAUCGAUGGGGAUGCGUUCCAUUAGGUUGUUGGCGGGGUAACGGCCCACCAAGCCUUCGAUGGAUAGGGGUUCUGAGAGGAAGGUCCCCCACAUUGGAACUGAGACACGGUCCAAACUCCUACGGGAGGCAGCAGUGAGGAAUAUUGGUCAAUGGACGAGAGUCUGAACCAGCCAAGUAGCGUGAAGGAUGACCGCCCUAUGGGUUGUAAACUUCUUUUAUACGGGAAUAAAGUGAGGCACGUGUGCCUUUUUGUAUGUACCGUAUGAAUAAGGAUCGGCUAACUCCGUGCCAGCAGCCGCGGUAAUACGGAGGAUCCGAGCGUUAUCCGGAUUUAUUGGGUUUAAAGGGAGCGUAGGCGGACGCUUAAGUCAGUUGUGAAAGUUUGCGGCUCAACCGUAAAAUUGCAGUUGAUACUGGGUGUCUUGAGUACAGUAGAGGCAGGCGGAAUUCGUGGUGUAGCGGUGAAAUGCUUAGAUAUCACGAAGAACUCCGAUUG